Molecule: ribosomal RNA, 498 nt
Filed under: uncultured bacterium
Lineage: Bacteria
Description: partial 16S ribosomal RNA
Rfam family: Bacterial small subunit ribosomal RNA
Source: RNAcentral
ACUCAAAGGAAUUGACGGGGGCCCGCACAAGUGGUGGAGCAUGUGGUUUAAUUCGAUGAUACGCGAGGAACCUUACCUAGGCUAGAAUGCGCGUGACCGGCUCAGAGAUGAGCUUUUCCUUCGGGACACAAAGCAAGGUGCUGCAUGGCCGUCGUCAGCUCGUGCCGUGAGGUGUUGGGUUAAGUCCCGCAACGAGCGCAACCCCUAUGUUUAGUUGCCAGCAUGUAAUGAUGGGGACUCUAGACAGACUGCCUGCGCAAGCAGUGAGGAAGGCGGGGACGACGUCAGGUCAUCAUGGCCCUUACGCCUAGGGCGACACACGUGCUACAAUGGACGGUACAGCGGGUAGCUACUGGGCGACCAGAUGCCAAUCUCGAAAAGCCGUUCUCAGUUCGGAUCGGAGUCUGCAACUCGACUCCGUGAAGCUGGAAUCACUAGUAAUCGCGCAUCAGCCAUGGCGCGGUGAAUACGUUCCCGGGCCUUGUACACACCGCCCGU